RNAcentral lists this ribosomal RNA (945 nucleotides) under uncultured bacterium. Its description in RNAcentral is "bacterial SSU rRNA". It matches the Rfam family "Bacterial small subunit ribosomal RNA", at positions 456 to 1399 of the family's 1533-position model. The record is from RNAcentral.
AACUGUUUAGGCAGUGACGGUAUCCAUCCAGAAAGUCACGGGUAUAUACGUGCCAGCAGCCGCGGUAAUAUGUAGGUGGCAAGCGUUAUCUGGAUUUUUUGGGGGUAAAGCGAGCGCAGGCGGUUGCUUAGGUGUGAUGUGAAAGCUUUGGGCUUUCCCGAAGAAGUGCAUAGGAAACCGGGUGACUUGAGUGCAUAAGAGGACAGUGGAACUCCAUGUGUAGCGGUGGAAUGUGUAGAUAUAUGGAAGAACACCACUGGCGAAGGCGGCUCUCUGGUCUGCAACUGACGCUGAGGCUCGAAAGCAUGGGUAGCGAACACGAUUAGAUACCCUGGUAGUCCACGCCGUAAACGAUGAGUAUAUAGGUGUUGGAGGGUUUCCGCCCUUCAGUGCCGGAGCUAACGCAUUAAGCACUCCGCCUGGGGAGUACGACGGCAAGUUGGAAACUCAAAGGAAUUGACGGGGGGCCGCACAAGCGGUGGAGCUCGUGGUUGAAUUAGAAGGUACGCGAAGAACCUUCCCAGGUCUUGACAUCGUGCGCUAACGUUAGAGAUAAGGCGUUCCCUUCGGGGAUGCAAUGACAGGCGGUGCAUGGUAGUCGUCAGCUUGUGUCAGGAGAUGUGGGGCUAAGUCCCGCAACGAGCGCAACCCUGGUUAUUAGUUGCCAGCACUAAGUCGGGCCCUCUAGGGAGAUCGCCGGUGACAAACUGGAGGAAGGUGGGGAUCGACGUCAGAUCAUCAAGCCCAUUACGACCUGGGAUACACAAGUGGCACAAGGGUCGGUACAACGAGUCGCAAGCUCAGGAGAGUAAGUUAAUCUCUAAAAGCCGUUCUCACUUCGGGCAGUAGUCUGCAACUCCCCUACUCGAAGUCGGAAUCGCUAGUAAUCGCGGAUCAGCAUGCCGCGGGGAACACGUUCCCGGCCCUAGUACACACCGCCCGUCA